This 23-nucleotide non-coding RNA is filed under the name Arabidopsis thaliana (thale cress). Lineage: Eukaryota; Viridiplantae; Streptophyta; Magnoliopsida; Brassicales; Brassicaceae. The record is from RNAcentral.
UGUAUAGCACGGGUUAUGAUCUA